RNAcentral lists this long non-coding RNA (457 nucleotides) under Rattus norvegicus (Norway rat). Its description in RNAcentral is "long non-coding RNA NONRATT005419". Lineage: Eukaryota; Metazoa; Chordata; Mammalia; Rodentia; Muridae. The record is from RNAcentral.
CCACGAUGCUGUGCUUCAGGGUUUGAAGCCCUGACUGAGCUCUGUCUGGCGUGUGGCAGCUCCCUCCAGAUUGAAUGGAGGGCAGGAGGAGGGGACACGACAGCCCAUUGAAUGGAAGCAAACCAGGUGACAGAGCCAUUAAGAAGCGGCGGAUACAACGGAACAUGUUCUCCCAGCACAGAAGAGCAGAGGACUGACACAGAGAACGGUGCUCAUGGAGAAGCAGACACAAGGAGCCCCUGCUGCCUGACACACAUACGAAAUGCCUGGAAGAGGCAAACCAUGGAGACAGAAGGUGGCUGAGCCCUUGCCUCAGGCUGGGAGUUGCGGUGUGGGAGCAGAGGGGCAGGAAGUUUCUUCAGGGGUAAUAGAAAUAUUCUAAGAUUUGCCUGUAGCAGUGACUGAAUAGUUCUGUAAGUAUACUAAAAUAAAAAAAAAGUCAUCGAUUGGCUCAAAU